AUGCUUCUCUGUGUCUGAGUGCUGUUGCAGGCGGUUCAGGCACUCCGUCCUCUCUGCAGAAAGUCGCUCAACCAUCAGCUUGUCCAAAACACGCAUUUGGUGCUGGGUCUUAUUCUCCAUCUGCCCCAGCUUUGUAUUCAUUUUGUCCUGAACCGAUCCCAGCUCUGCUUUUAUCUCCUCCACAGUAGCCUCCAACUGAUUCUCCAGCUUGUUGAUUAGAGGUUCACAUCGACAACCAUUUAUUGGUGCCUGCAUCACUUUCCCAUCCUUGCCCCGGUACAAUGUGUAGAGCUGAUACGCCCUGAACUCAUGGGGUGGGGGUGGGGAUGAACACCGAUGCCUGUUCCUCUUUUUAGGGUGAUUAUGAGCAUGCAGGUUCUUCUGGUGUCCAGGCUGUUGGUCGGCUGGUGGGGUGGGGUCAGAAAAUGCUGACACCUUGGGCCUUGACUUUCUCCUCCUGUCAUCCUUUGCUCUGGGUUCUGGGGAGGCUGACAGGAACUCUUCUCUGGCUUCUUCUUUUCUGGCCACAGCCUGUUCACUGCUGGGGGUGUCUCCUGCUGAGACACUGCCCUUGGUAACCGCUACCCUGGCGCCCUUGUUGAUGAGCUGAACCACAUUCUCUGUUUGGCCUUUGUACGCAGCUACGAGAAGGCGCUCUGAAAGUGCAGCGACCGCAUCUUGCUGGCUCAUGAAUUAGGAAAGAAAGGUUUUCAGGGAAGCGGUAGACAAGUUCCUUCAGCUCAACACGAAGUCACUGGCCCGGCCUGGCACCCAGAGGUAAAGAAUAGCAGAAAAAGAGAGAGGAACUCUCGCAAACCCAUCCUGCUCCUGCUCACUGGGUCAUUAGAAACAAAACAGAUCUGGUGAAGGGUCUGCUGUAAAGCAGCUUGUCUUGUGUCUGCAGAUUUUCACGGACUGCUCCCUCCUGCCAGCAGAGGACCUGUAACACUGCCCCGAUUGAAGUCAGGGAACAAUUCACAGAUCGGAGGAACAUUUCUGAAUGACGCUCAGAUGACAGAGAAACGAAGUUUGCAUAAUUUCAGCAGUAAUGCAAGAAAAGAUGAGUGUGCGUGUUGUAAGGGAGGGAGGGAUGCAGAAAGGGUUGAAAUCUGUAAUAAACUGCCUCCAAGAAAACAG
RNAcentral lists this long non-coding RNA (1137 nucleotides) under Homo sapiens (human). RNAcentral's name for it is "HSALNT0335606". The record is from RNAcentral. Lineage: Eukaryota; Metazoa; Chordata; Mammalia; Primates; Hominidae.